This 507-nucleotide ribosomal RNA is filed under the name uncultured bacterium. RNAcentral describes it as "partial 16S ribosomal RNA". It matches the Rfam family "Bacterial small subunit ribosomal RNA", at positions 28 to 507 of the family's 1533-position model. The record is from RNAcentral.
GACGAACGCUGGCGGCGUGCCUAAUACAUGCCAGUCGAACGCAUUUUCUUUCACCGUAGCUUGCUACACCGAAAGAAAAUGAGUGGCGAACGGGUGAGUAACACGUGGGUAACCUGCCCAUCAGCGGGGGAUAACACUUGGAAACAGGUGCUAAUACCGCAUAAUUCCAUUUACCGCAUGGUAGAUGGAUGAAAGGCGCUUUUGCGUCACUGAUGGAUGGACCCGCGGUGCAUUAGCUAGUUGGUGGGGUAACGGCCUACCAAGGCUGCGAUGCAUAGCCGACCUGAGAGGGUGAUCGGCCACACUGGGACUGAGACACGGCCCAGACUCCUACGGGAGGCAGCAGUAGGGAAGCUUCGGCAAUGGACGCAAGUCUGACCGAGCAACGCCGCGUGAGUGAAGAAGGGUUUCGGAUCGUAAAACUCUGUUGUUAGAGAAGAACAAGGAUGAGAGUGGAAAGUUCAUCCCUUGACGGUAUCUAAACAGAAAGCCACGGCUAACUACGUG